Molecule: long non-coding RNA, 390 nt
Filed under: Homo sapiens (human)
Lineage: Eukaryota; Metazoa; Chordata; Mammalia; Primates; Hominidae
Description: non-protein coding lnc-RXRA-6:1
Source: RNAcentral
UUGCUCCAUGCAGCUGAAGUACUCCUGAGAGUCCGGGGCCAGUGCCUGGGGUCUGCACAGACCAGGGAGUUGGUGACCCAGGACAGCAGGGAGGAGGUGGGGCCGGGGGCAGGGCCGCACGGUGGAAGCACCGAGGGGAUUUCGACAAUGACCACCCCCCUAUCCCCUAGACAGGACCGCCCUUGUCAGGACAGCCUGCAGGGUCCUUAGUCUCAGGUGGCGUCCCUGCAAAGCAGACCCCGAGACAAGGGUCUGGGCACAAGUGGCUGUUCUGGAGGGGAGUCUAGGAUUUGCUGCGAGGCACCGGGGGAAGCAGGAUGGGAAGCAGGGAGCCCGCAAAGCAACUCAGCCUGCUGGGGACCCUCCGAGAACAGAGGCCCAUGAUGUGCC